UUGAACGCUGGCGGCAUGCUUUACACAUGCCAGUCGAACGGCAGCGCGGGCUUCGGCCUGGCGGCGAGUGGCGAACGGGUGAGUAAUGCAUCGGAACGUGCCCAGUAGUGGGGGAUAGCCCGGCGAAAGCCGGAUUAAUACCGCAUACGACCUGAGGGUGAAAGCGGGGGACCGAAAGGCCUCGCGCUAUUGGAGCGGCCGAUGUCGGAUUAGCUAGUUGGUGGGGUAAAGGCUUACCAAGGCGACGAUCCGUAGCUGGUCUGAGAGGACGACCAGCCACACUGGGACUGGGACACGGCCCAGACUCCUACGGGAGGCAGCAGUGGGGAAUUUUGGACAAUGGGGGCAAACCUGAUCCAGCCAUGCCGCGUGCGGGAAGAAGGCCUUCGGGUUGUAAACCGCUUUUGUUCGGGAAGAAAUCCUCUGGGCUAAUACCCCGGGGGGAUGACGGUACCGGAAGAAUAAGCACCGGCUAACUACGUG
Molecule: ribosomal RNA, 483 nt
Filed under: uncultured bacterium
Lineage: Bacteria
Description: partial 16S ribosomal RNA
Rfam family: Bacterial small subunit ribosomal RNA
Source: RNAcentral